Molecule: ribosomal RNA, 465 nt
Filed under: Vreelandella stevensii
Lineage: Bacteria; Pseudomonadati; Pseudomonadota; Gammaproteobacteria; Oceanospirillales; Halomonadaceae
Description: partial 16S ribosomal RNA
Rfam family: Bacterial small subunit ribosomal RNA
Source: RNAcentral
CCUACGGGUGGCUGCAGUGGGGAAUAUUGGACAAUGGGCGAAAGCCUGAUCCAGCCAUGCCGCGUGUGUGAAGAAGGCCUUCGGGUUGUAAAGCACUUUCAGUGGGGAAGAAAGCCUUGGGGCUAAUACCCUCGAGGAAGGACAUCACCCACUGAAGAAGCACCGGCUAACUCCGUGCCAGCAGCCGCGGUAAUACGGAGGGUGCGAGCGUUAAUCGGAAUUACUGGGCGUAAAGCGCGCGUAGGCGGUCUGAUAAGCCGGUUGUGAAAGCCCCGGGCUCAACCUGGGAACGGCAUCCGGAACUGUCAGGCUAGAGUGCAGGAGAGGAAGGUAGAAUUCCCGGUGUAGCGGUGAAAUGCGUAGAGAUCGGGAGGAAUACCAGUGGCGAAGGCGGCCUUCUGGACUGACACUGACGCUGAGGUGCGAAAGCGUGGGUAGCAAACAGGAUUAGAUACCCUAGUAGUC